CUGAGAUACGGCCCAGACUCCUACGGGAGGCAGCAGUGGGGAAUAUUGCACAAUGGGCGCAAGCCUGAUGCAGCGACGCCGCUUGAGGGAUGACGGCCUUCGGGUUGUAAACCUCUUUCAAUAGGGACGAAGCGUAAGUGACGGUACCUAUAGAAGAAGCACCGGCCAACUACGUGCCAGCAGCCGCGGUAAUACGUAGGGUGCGAGCGUUGUCCGGAAUUACUGGGCGUAAAGAGCUCGUAGGUGGUUUGUCGCGUUGUUCGUGAAAACUCACAGCUUAACUGUGGGCGUGCGGGCGAUACGGGCAGACUGGAGUACUGCAGGGGAGACUGGAAUUCCUGGUGUAGCGGUGGAAUGCGCAGAUAUCAGGAGGAACACCGGUGGCGAAGGCGGGUCUCUGGGCAGUAACUGACGCUGAGGAGCGAAAGCGUGGGGAGCGAACAGGAUUAGAUACCCUGGUAGUCCACGCCGUAAACGGUGGGUACUAGGUGUGGGUUUCCUUCCUUGGGAUCCGUGCCGUAGCUAACGCAUUAAGUACCCCGCCUGGGGAGUACGGCCGCAAGGCUAAAACUCAAAGGAAUUGACGGGGGCCCGCACAAGCGGCGGAGCAUGUGGAUUAAUUCGAUGCAACGCGAAGAACCUUACCUGGGUUUGACAUGCACAGGACGCCGGCAGAGAUGUCGGUUCCCUUGUGGCCUGUGUGCAGGUGGUGCAUGGCUGUCGUCAGCUCGUGUCGUGAGAUGUUGGGUUAAGUCCCGCAACGAGCGCAACCCUUGUCUCAUGUUGCCAGCACGUUAUGGUGGGGACUCGUGAGAGACUGCCGGGGUCAACUCGGAGGAAGGUGGGGAUGACGUCAAGUCAUCAUGCCCCUUAUGUCCAGGGCUUCACACAUGCUACAAUGGCCGGUACAAAGGGCUGCGAUGCCGUGAGGUGGAGCGAAUCCUUUAAAGCCGGUCUCAGUUCGGAUCGGGGUCUGCAACUCGACCCCGUGAAGUCGGAGUCGCUAGUAAUCGCAGAUCAGCAACGCUGCGGUGAAUACGUUCCCGGGCCUUGUACACACCGCCCGUCACGUCAUGAAAGUCGGUAACACCCGAAGCCGGUGGCCUAACCCCUUGUGGGAGGGAGCCGUCGAAGUGGAUCGCCAUUCCCA
Molecule: ribosomal RNA, 1150 nt
Filed under: Mycobacterium sp.
Lineage: Bacteria; Bacillati; Actinomycetota; Actinomycetes; Mycobacteriales; Mycobacteriaceae
Description: bacterial SSU rRNA
Rfam family: Bacterial small subunit ribosomal RNA
Source: RNAcentral